AAGGACAGAGCAUGUCGUGUUGCGGUUGGCUUGAAACCAAAUGGCGGGGGUUCAAUUCCUCCUGUCCUUG
Molecule: transfer RNA, 70 nt
Filed under: Osteolaemus osborni
Lineage: Eukaryota; Metazoa; Chordata; Crocodylia; Crocodylidae
Description: Osteolaemus tetraspis osborni tRNA-Ser
Rfam family: tRNA
About the family: Transfer RNA (tRNA) molecules are approximately 80 nucleotides in length. Their secondary structure includes four short double-helical elements and three loops (D, anti-codon, and T loops).
Source: RNAcentral